This 74-nucleotide transfer RNA is filed under the name Actinophytocola oryzae. It matches the Rfam family "tRNA". From Rfam's summary of the family: Transfer RNA (tRNA) molecules are approximately 80 nucleotides in length. Their secondary structure includes four short double-helical elements and three loops (D, anti-codon, and T loops). RNAcentral also lists the same sequence under 8 other names. Lineage: Bacteria; Bacillati; Actinomycetota; Actinomycetes; Pseudonocardiales; Pseudonocardiaceae. The record is from Rfam by way of RNAcentral.
GGGGCCGUAGCCCAACAGGCAGAGGCACUGGAUUUAGGUUCCAGCCAGUGAGGGUUCGACUCCCUUCGGCCCCA